UGCAAGUCGAGCGGAUGAAGGGAGCUUGCUCCCUGAUUCAGCGGCGGACGGGUGAGUAAUGCCUAGGAAUCUGCCUGGUAGUGGGGGACAACGUCUCGAAAGGGACGCUAAUACCGCAUACGUCCUACGGGAGAAAGCAGGGGACCUUCGGGCCUUGCGCUAUCAGAUGAGCCUAGGUCGGAUUAGCUAGUUGGUGAGGUAAUGGCUCACCAAGGCGACGAUCCGUAACUGGUCUGAGAGGAUGAUCAGUCACACUGGAACUGAGACACGGUCCAGACUCCUACGGGAGGCAGCAGUGGGGAAUAUUGGACAAUGGGCGAAAGCCUGAUCCAGCCAUGCCGCGUGUGUGAAGAAGGUCUUCGGAUUGUAAAGCACUUUAAGUUGGGAGGAAGGGCAUUAACCUAAUACGUUGGUGUUUUGACGUUACCGACAGAAUAAGCACCGGCUAACUCUGUGCCAGCAGCCGCGGUAAUACAGAGGGUGCAAGCGUUAAUCGGAAUUACUGGGCGUAAAGCGCGCGUAGGUGGUUUGUUAAGUUGGAUGUGAAAUCCCCGGGCUCAACCUGGGAACUGCAUCCAAAACUGGCAGGCUAGAGUAGGGCAGAGGGUGGUGGAAUUU
RNAcentral lists this ribosomal RNA (618 nucleotides) under Pseudomonas sp. Arv-22-2.7. RNAcentral's name for it is "bacterial SSU rRNA". It matches the Rfam family "Bacterial small subunit ribosomal RNA", at positions 56 to 669 of the family's 1533-position model. Lineage: Bacteria; Pseudomonadati; Pseudomonadota; Gammaproteobacteria; Pseudomonadales; Pseudomonadaceae. The record is from RNAcentral.